Molecule: ribosomal RNA, 253 nt
Filed under: uncultured bacterium
Lineage: Bacteria
Description: partial 16S ribosomal RNA
Rfam family: Bacterial small subunit ribosomal RNA
Source: RNAcentral
UACGGGGGGGGUAAGCGUUGUUCGGAAUUACUGGGCGUAAAGGGCUCGUAGGCGGCCAACUAAGUCAGACGUGAAAUCCCUCAGCUUAACUGGGGAACUGCGUCUGAUACUGGAUGGCUUGGAUUCGGGAGAGGAAUGCGGAAUUCCAGGUGUAGCGGUGAAAUGCGUAGAUAUCUGGAGGAACACCCGUGGCGAAGGCGGCUCUCUGGGACGGUACUGACGCUGAGACGCGAAAGCGUGGGGAGCGAACAGG